GCUCUGGUAGCUCAGCUAGGAAGAGCACUGUCUUGGUAUGAUAGAGAUCGCUGGUUCGAAUCCAGCCCAGGGCU
RNAcentral lists this transfer RNA (74 nucleotides) under Thermoproteota archaeon. RNAcentral describes it as "tRNA-Thr". It matches the Rfam family "tRNA". Rfam says of the family: Transfer RNA (tRNA) molecules are approximately 80 nucleotides in length. The record is from RNAcentral. Lineage: Archaea; Thermoproteati; Thermoproteota.